UUUUUUUUUUAAUUUUUUAAAAAAAUUUUAUUUAUUUAUUCAUGAGAGAGAGACACACACACACACACACACACACACACAGAGGCAGAGACACAGGCAGUGAGAGAAGCAGGUUCCAUGCAGGGAGCCCAAUGUGGGACUCCAUCCUGGGUCUCCAGGAUCAGGCCCUGGGCUGAAGGCAGGCGCUAAACCACUGAGCUACCCAGGGAUCCCACUUUGUGAGAUUUUUUUGUUCCUUGUUUGAUUAAAACUAGCUUCACAAGGUUUUAGGUAUCUUCUGUCAUUACUGUAUUUGGAAAGAGAGUUACUUAAAAUUGAAACUAAAUAUUUGUAUGAAAACAAAAACUUAAUAGCCCUGGUCUACAGAAAGAAAUAGAAUACAUAAUAGGUUAAGUUGCCGUAAGCCCUUUUCCUAAAAUAAACUUUGUAUUUUAGAAUAACUUGAGAUUUGCAGAAAAUUGCAAAGAUAGUACAGAGAAUUGCCCCACUCAAUUUUCACUUUUUUGUUUUUUUGCCAAAUUUUUAUUUGAAUAUAGUUGAUCUUAUGUUAGUUUCAGGUGUACCACUUAGUGAUUCAACUUCACUCAAUGUUCCGUUGAAUGAGAGUUUUCUAUGGACCUCUAAGGACUUUUCUUGCAUUAAAGAAGCCGAUCUUAGUAACUUCAAAGCUACCAAUGAUGGCCAAAAUUCUUUAAAAUUUAGUUAUAAGAAUGGGGUAUCUGGAGUCAAAGGGUCUGAGUUACAGCUCCACUUCUUAAUAAUGACAGUACCUUAGAGAAGUUAUUGAACCUCCCUAAGCCUCAAUUUCCUUUCCUGUAACAUGGAGAUGGAGCAGAUAAUAAUACCUAUCUAUAUUAAUCUUGGGGCAUAGCAAGUACUCAAUGUCAAUUUAUCAAAAUAAACUGGAGGAGACAUUUAAUAUAAUUUCUUAUUUAUAAAUCUUUAUUUUACAUCGCUGCUCUAUGUGUAUCAUAUUCUGCAACCAGACUAGAUUACACAUAGUUCUCUUAUUUAUUUAUUUUUUUCACCUAGUUCUCUUAACACUGGAAGGUAUUUUAUACUCCUUAGCAAUACUCUUCCCUUCACGGACUACCUGGCAAACUUCUAUUCACACUUCAAGACUCAGUUCACAUUAUCUUUCAUUUAUUUGGUCAGUCAUCAUCCAACAUUUUUUUUUUUUUAAACAUUCACUCUAAAUAGCAUCCUCCUUCUGGAGAUACAUCUACCAGCAAAUUAAACAUAAAUAGAAUUAACACUGCUUAGAAGACUGCCCGUUGAAUAUGCAUCUUAGAUCAUUUUCCUCUUUAGAAAAUUUCCCACAUGCUACAUGUUCAGUAAUAACUCCAGCUGCUUGCUCAUAAGAUAGUAUUUCUUCCCCAAAUGUAAUACUUCUAUUUUUGUGCUCCACCAGUUUUGUUGUUUUUAGAAAGCUUUUAGGCCCAUUACUAAGAGUAAACCAGAUACUUAGCUGAGACAUAAUUUUUCUGAAACAUUUGAGCAAUGGACAAGCAGGAAGUGAUUAAAAGGAGAAAAGCUUUAACAACUACUAGCAAAAUUCCCUUUCCUUGUGAAACUUACAUAUUUAACAAGAAGUCAACAGUAAUUACCAGACUUAACACCUGCUGCAUAGAAUCUUGUUUUAAAUAAAUUUGUAAUAUGGAGGCAGAUUCACUGCACCAAUAUCCCAUUGCACAUGUUAACUGCAAUAUACGCUUAGAAUUCUAAUAAUUUCUCUGAUAAUAUCUUGCAUCAUUUAAGAAUUCCUAAAGAUGAAUUCUAAAAUUCAGUUUCAUCUGUGCAAACCUGAAAAUUUCAUUAUAUGCUUUUUAAAAAAGUGCUUACCUAACUGAUACAUAAAAGGGAAAUUGGCCAUGUGAUCAUGUGUUCUCACGUAUCUCUGACAUUCUGCAAAUACCAUAAGUUUUUUGAAUAGUUUCAACAUAAAAAAAAAACCCUGAACACAAGCAUGAUUCUGUGUUUGAACCUAAAUACACACACAUACACUUAUGUUCAGAUAUGCAUACGAAUAGGAAUGUUGAAAACUACCCCUUGUACU
Molecule: long non-coding RNA, 2056 nt
Filed under: Canis lupus familiaris (dog)
Lineage: Eukaryota; Metazoa; Chordata; Mammalia; Carnivora; Canidae
Description: lncRNA (ENSCAFG00000053165.1)
Source: RNAcentral